UGUUGAUCGGGUUUUGAAGGAGUUGAAUAGCAAUCACUUGGGUCAUGCAGGUCCAUCUAACCUUGUGAGGGCUAAUAAGAAAGUACAUUGUCAUCAUCCUCUUCUUUAUCCUUUUAUUCUGUUCCUUUUUUUUUUUAAAUAAGAGAGCACAGUUUGAUAAUGGAUGAGACAUUGAGGAGGCAGGCCCCAUCUAACCAUUCAGUUUGAAUAUGAUCAUGAUGCCGAAGGUCUCCAACGAAUUGAAGCGGAGAGAGUAACAAAACAAUAUGUCACUUCAUGGAUGGGAAAUGAAAUGAAGAGAGAUUCUCACCAUUCAACAAAUGAGAAAAUGUGUUGGGACUGCAAAGUAAGAGAGCACAACUUGGUGUGGAUGAAGAGGCAGAUGGUCCACUUCAGCUCUAUUAAUCUAGUUUACUUUUUUAUAAUUAGUAAAUGUGUUGGAAUUGUGUGGCUUAACAUACUUUUAUUUGUGU
Long non-coding RNA from Macadamia integrifolia, 473 nucleotides. RefSeq lists it as uncharacterized. The transcript is spliced from 2 exons. The record is from RefSeq and is a predicted model, not a curated record. Lineage: Eukaryota; Viridiplantae; Streptophyta; Magnoliopsida; Proteales; Proteaceae.